AAGUAUGCAAAGGGAAUGACAAAGAGAGAGAGGCAGAGGUUCACUCAAAAAAACUAAGUACUCUACUACUUAGAAAAGAGAUUACAACACACAUACUCCCUCUUGUGUGUUUAGCCUUAACCAAACCUCACUACUUAUAAGCUCCUAGAUACAAUGAACCUAGACACACACUAACUCUCUCAUUAUGACACAUAUUAACUCACCAACUAUUUUAUAGUAAUGAGCCCUCAUAAUGACCAAAAGCUCAAGAGUCACCCAUAACUCCCAUGAGUUUCAUAACCCUUGAGUUUCCCACAGCAGGUUGGGUUUGGGUAUUGACAACCUGAUUCGACCCGUUACCAACCCGAACUCGCUAGCAGAUUUGGGCCACUGUCAAGGAGAAAUCAGCGGAAAAUAUUUUGUCCGUGACAUUCUCCCCCACCUAACGCGCAGACGCCCUCGUCGCGCGCCGAGUCGCUCCCGGUCCGCAUAGCCUUCCGCGUGGUCCGUCGUGCCUUCGCGCGCGAUCUGCCCCGUGCCUUGCUCCCAAUGUCCACAUCUGUCCCCGCACCAGCACCUAGUGUCUUGCCCCUCUGAGCAAGUGCACCAGCGAGCCUGCUGUGCGAAGAGUUCGCCGGAUGUGCAUGUCUUCCGCGACACGCACGCGCACUCUGCCAAGCUGCAGAACGCCCCGAGUGUGCAUGUCCUCCGCGACACGCGCGUACUCCGCCAAGCUGCAGAACGCCUUUUGGUCCUCGCAGGCUCCUUAGCAGAAUAACUUGCACUUUGCUUGGACGCUGGCCACUCCAGCGCCAUAUGAGACUCGAUAGUCUCGCCGCCGCUCAGGCCCUCCUCCUCGAGGUCCUCGGCCGUCCCGCGCUUCACCUCCUCGCAAAGCUGCAGGGCUGUCAGAGUUGAACUCUCGUUGCACCCUUUUGCGUCCCAUGGAUCCUCGAGGUCCUCGGCCUUCCCGCGCUUCACCUCCUCGCAAAGCUGCAGGGCUGUCAGAGUUGAACUCUCGUUGCACCCUUUUGCGUCCCAUGGAUCGCGGUGCUCUCCCCCACCUUUGGCCUUGCUCGCCUUUGAUGGUUCACCUCGAUCGCCCUCGGUUCGCUCCCGCUCGAGCACAACGUCAACGACGACAGCUUCCAACAAAGACAUGGUUCCUUCUCGAACCGGCUCUGAUACCAACUGUCACGGCCUUAGCGUUUCUGUUCGCAAAGCCCGUGCGGCGCCCGCCUUCCUGCUCGAAGAUGGGCAAGCCUUCGUCCCUAUUGCUAGCCUGGACCUUCGCGCCGUACGACUAAGUAUGCAAAGGGAAUGACAAAGAGAGAGAGGCAGAGGUUCACUCAAAAAAACUAAGUACUCCAGUACUUAGAAAAGAGAUUACAACACACAUACUCCCUCUUGUGUGUUUGGCCUUAACCAAAUCUCACUACUUAUAAGCUUCUAGAUACAAUGAACUUAGACACACACUAACUCUCUCAUUAUGACACAUAUUAACUCACCAACUAUUUUAUAGUAAUGAGCCCUCAUAAUGACCAAAAGCUCAAGAGUCACCCAUAACUCCCAUGAGUUUCAUAACCCUUUGAGUUUCCCACAGCAGGUUGGGUUUGGGUAUUGACAACCUGAUUCGACCUGUUACCAACCCGAACUCGCUAGCAGAUUUGGGCCACUGUCAAGGAGAAAUCAGCGGAAAAUAUUUUGUCCGUGACACCUUUGUACUCAUAAAUUUUCGACCGUUCGGAUGAAAAAAUGUGCGGGUAGGAUGAGAGUGGUUACGGUUAGGUUGAUAGUGGGCCCUCUAGGGUUGAGUGGGUGGUUGGUUGAAUAGUAUAAUCUAACGGGUGAAAAUGAUUAAAGGGAAGAUCUAACGGUUAAAAACUUAUGAGUACAAGAGACUCUAUACUCAUAAGAGUAUAAUAGCCGGACUAUAUAUAUAUAUAUAUAUAUAUAUAUAUAUAUAUAUAUAUAUAUAUAUAUAGUAGGACUACUAUACUAUUAUGAGUAUUGGGUCCUUCGUACUCAUAAGUUGUUUUCGAUGAUGGAGCUUCCGAAUCGACGAUCCACUCCGUUAAAUAUGAUCUAGAGUAUUUGAAACUUCUAGAANNNNNNNNNNNNNNUCUUGAACGCUUGUAUCUAUUUGGAUCUUCUCAAUUGGGGUGCCCUUUAUGGCUCAUGGUAUAAGAUCCCUUCUUGGUAGGGGGAAUUAGUGGUUUAAAUCGCUCUUUCGAUAUGGUACUGGGUUAUGCUUGCUACAAAUUGAAGAAAUAAUGGAUUUAUUGGUUUUUUAUUUUUUUCCUGAGAAGAGCAAAUUUAAUUUAGUCGUUGGAUAUAUGAGGGUUUUAGAAACAUGAAAAAUAUGGUGCGAAAGCAUGAAUUUGUUCAUAAAUUACUGUAACUCGGCGUAGGUUUCUUUCUUGUAUCAUGUUGGUUUCAUAGGUGUUCUAGUCGGUUCAGCUGCUAAUUUUGGAUGGUACUGAGGAUUUCUCCAUAAACUUGCAACACAAUUUGUCAGAAGAAUUCAGCAAGUUGCUUCUCAUGUUCAAUCUUUUGAAUUAUGAUGCCUCAAGCACAUUAACUUUUCACUGCUUCUAAUCUAUUGAACUAUCUUAUCUGAAGGAUUCAUGAGGUUUUGUUAACCGAUGUCAUCUUGAGAAGGCAAAAGCUUCCCUG
RNAcentral lists this long non-coding RNA (2655 nucleotides) under Ananas comosus (pineapple). RNAcentral's name for it is "long non-coding RNA (ACOM_LNC022747)". Lineage: Eukaryota; Viridiplantae; Streptophyta; Magnoliopsida; Poales; Bromeliaceae. The record is from RNAcentral.